CGGCGCCACAAGUGGCAAUCAGUAUUAUUGGGCCUAAAGCGUCCGUAGCCGGACAGGUGCAUCUUCUGUGAAAUCACUGUGCUUAACGCAGCGCAUUGCAGAAGACACGGCCUGUCUUGGGAGUGGGAGAGGCUAGAGGUACUCAGUGGGGACUGGUAAAAUGGUAUAAUCCUCUGAGGACCACCGAUGGCGAAGGCAUCUGGCCAGAACACGUCCGACGGUGAGGGACGAAAGCUAGGGGAGCGAACCGGAUUAGAUACCCGAGUAGUCC
RNAcentral lists this ribosomal RNA (271 nucleotides) under uncultured archaeon. RNAcentral describes it as "partial 16S ribosomal RNA". It matches the Rfam family "Archaeal small subunit ribosomal RNA", at positions 477 to 747 of the family's 1478-position model. The record is from RNAcentral.